GAUGAAGAACGCAGCGAAAUGCGAUACGUAAUGUGAAUUGCAGAAUUCAGUGAAUCAUCGAGUCUUUGAACGCACAUUGCGCCCCCGGUAUUCCGGGGGGCAUGCCUGUCCGAGCGUCAUUGCUGCCCUCAAGCACGGCUUGUGUGUUGGGCCUCCGUCCUCCUCCCGGGGGACGGGCCCGAAAGGCAGCGGCGGCACCGCGUCCGGUCCUCGAGCGUAUGGGGCUUCGUCACCCGCUCUUGUAGGCCCGGCCGGCGCUUGCCGACACAUCAAUCUUUUUUCCAGGUUGACCUCGGAUCAGGUAGGGAUACCCGCUGAACUUAAGCAUAUCAAUAAGCGGAGGA
Molecule: unclassified non-coding RNA, 344 nt
Filed under: soil metagenome
Description: partial contains 5.8S ribosomal RNA, internal transcribed spacer 2, and large subunit ribosomal RNA
Rfam family: 5.8S ribosomal RNA (bases 1-119)
Source: RNAcentral